AGUGAACGCUGGCGGUAGGCCUAACACAUGCAAGUCGAACGGCAGCACAGUAAGAGCUUGCUCUUACGGGUGGCGAGUGGCGGACGGGUGAGGAAUACAUCGGAAUCUACUUUUUCGUGGGGGAUAACGUAGGGAAACUUACGCUAAUACCGCAUACGACCUACGGGUGAAAGCAGGGGAUCUUCGGACCUUGCGCGAUUGAAUGAGCCGAUGUCGGAUUAGCUAGUUGGCGGGGUAAAGGCCCACCAAGGCGACGAUCCGUAGCUCGUCUGAGAGGAUGAUCAGCCACACUGGAACUGAGACACGGUCCAGACUCCUACGGGAGGCAGCAGUGGGGAAUAUUGGACAAUGGGCGCAAGCCUGAUCCAGCCAUACCGCGUGGGUGAAGAAGGCGUUCGGGUUGUAAAGCCCUUUUGUUGGGAAAGAAAAGCAGCAGGUUAAUACCCCGCUGUUCUGACGGUACCCAAAGAAUAAGCACCGGCUAACUUCGUG
This 492-nucleotide ribosomal RNA is filed under the name uncultured bacterium. Its description in RNAcentral is "partial 16S ribosomal RNA". It matches the Rfam family "Bacterial small subunit ribosomal RNA", at positions 29 to 507 of the family's 1533-position model. The record is from RNAcentral.